GGACAACCUACCCUAAGGAGGGGGAUAACCCCGGAAAACUGGGGAUAAUACCCCAUAGAUUAUAGAAGCUGGAAUGCUCUGUAGUCGAAAGGUCCGCCGCCUUAGGAUGGGUCUGCGGCCGAUUAGGUUGUUGUUGGGGUAAAGGCCCAACAAGCCGUUGAUCGGUACGGGUUGUGAGAGCAAGAGCCCGGAGAUGGAUUCUGAGACACGAAUCCAGGCCCUACGGGGCGCAGCAGGCGCGAAAACUUUACAAUGCGGGAAACCGUGAUAAGGGAACCCCGAGUGCCCGUAAAAUCGGGCUGUCCAUCAGUGUAAAUAACUGGUGAAGAAAGGGCCGGGCAAGACCGGUGCCAGCCGCCGCGGUAAUACCGGCGGCUCGAGUGGUGGCCACUAUUAUUGGGCUUAAAGCGUCCGUAGCUUGAUUGUUAAGUCUCUUGGGAAAUCUACCGGCUCAACCGAUAGGCGUUCAAGGGAUACUGGCAAUCUAGGGACCGGGAGAGGUGAGAGGUACUCCAG
RNAcentral lists this ribosomal RNA (516 nucleotides) under uncultured archaeon. Its description in RNAcentral is "bacterial SSU rRNA". It matches the Rfam family "Archaeal small subunit ribosomal RNA", at positions 102 to 623 of the family's 1478-position model. The record is from RNAcentral.